CCUACGGGCGGCUGCAGUGGGGAAUAUUGGACAAUGGGCGAAAGCCUGAUCCAGCCAUGCCGCGUGUGUGAAGAAGGCCUUCGGGUUGUAAAGCACUUUCAGUGGGGAAGAAAGCCUUGGGGCUAAUACCCUCGAGGAAGGACAUCACCCACAGAAGAAGCACCGGCUAACUCCGUGCCAGCAGCCGCGGUAAUACGGAGGGUGCGAGCGUUAAUCGGAAUUACUGGGCGUAAAGCGCGCGUAGGCGGUCUGAUAAGCCGGUUGUGAAAGCCCGGGGCUCAACCUGGGAACGGCAUCCGGAACUGUCAGGCUAGAGUGCAGGAGAGGAAGGUAGAAUUCCCGGUGUAGCGGUGAAAUGCGUAGAGAUCGGGAGGAAUACCAGUGGCGAAGGCGGCCUUCUGGACUGACACUGACGCUGAGGUGCGAAAGCGUGGGUAGCAAACAGGAUUAGAUACCCCAGUAGUC
RNAcentral lists this ribosomal RNA (465 nucleotides) under Vreelandella stevensii. RNAcentral's name for it is "partial 16S ribosomal RNA". It matches the Rfam family "Bacterial small subunit ribosomal RNA", at positions 338 to 795 of the family's 1533-position model. Lineage: Bacteria; Pseudomonadati; Pseudomonadota; Gammaproteobacteria; Oceanospirillales; Halomonadaceae. The record is from RNAcentral.